This 507-nucleotide ribosomal RNA is filed under the name uncultured bacterium. RNAcentral's name for it is "bacterial SSU rRNA". It matches the Rfam family "Bacterial small subunit ribosomal RNA", at positions 355 to 875 of the family's 1533-position model. The record is from RNAcentral.
UGGGGAAUUUUCCGCAAUGGGCGAAAGCCUGACGGAGCAAUACCGCGUGAGGGAAGACUGCCUAUGGGUUGUAAACCUCUUUUUUCAGGGAGGAAUAAAAUGACGUGUACCUGAAGAAUAAGCAUCGGCUAACUCCGUGCCAGCAGCCGCGGUAAGACGGAGGAUGCAAGUGUUAUCCGGAAUCACUGGGCGUAAAGCGUCUGUAGGUGGUUUAAUAAGUCAACUGUUAAAUCUUGAGGCUCAACUUCAAAAUCGCAGUCGAAACUAUUAGACUAGAGUAUAGUAGAGGUAAAGGGAAUUUCCAGUGGAGCGGUGAAAUGCGUAGAUAUUGGAAAGAACACCGAUGGCGAAAGCACUUUACUGGGCUAUUACUAACACUCAGAGACGAAAGCUAGGGUAGCAAAUGGGAUUAGAUACCCCAGUAGUCCUAGCCGUAAACUAUGGAUACUAGAUGUUGAACAGAUCGACCUGUGCAGUAUCAAAGCUAACGCGUUAAGNUCCCGCCUG